UGCUUUUAACGCGGAGCUUUAGU
RNAcentral lists this microRNA (23 nucleotides) under Schmidtea mediterranea. Its description in RNAcentral is "sme-miR-124a-5p". Its record names the gene sme-miR-124a-5p. Lineage: Eukaryota; Metazoa; Platyhelminthes; Tricladida; Dugesiidae. The record is from miRBase by way of RNAcentral.